RNAcentral lists this ribosomal RNA (253 nucleotides) under uncultured bacterium. Its description in RNAcentral is "partial 16S ribosomal RNA". It matches the Rfam family "Bacterial small subunit ribosomal RNA", at positions 524 to 776 of the family's 1533-position model. The record is from RNAcentral.
UACGUAGGGUGCAAGCGUUGUUCGGAAUUACUGGGCGUAAAGGGUUUGUAGGUGGCCAACUAAGUCAGACGUGAAAUCCCUCAGCUUAACUGGGGAACUGCGUCUGAUACUGGUUGGCUUGAGUGCAGGAGAGGAACGCGGAAUUCCAGGUGUAGCGGUGAAAUGCGUAGAUAUCUGGAGGAACACCGGUGGCGAAGGCGGCGUUCUGGACUGCAACUGACACUGAGAAACGAAAGCCAGGGUAGCAAACGGG